RNAcentral lists this ribosomal RNA (112 nucleotides) under uncultured bacterium. RNAcentral's name for it is "partial 16S ribosomal RNA". It matches the Rfam family "Bacterial small subunit ribosomal RNA", at positions 1360 to 1482 of the family's 1533-position model. The record is from RNAcentral.
CGGUGAAUACGUUCCCGGACCUUGUACACACCGCCCGUCAAGCCAUGGAAGCUGGGUGUACCUAAAGUCGAUAACCGCAAGGAGUCGCCUAGGGUAAACUAGUAACUGGGCU